AGUGAACGCUGGCGGUAGGCCUAACACAUGCAAGUCGAACGGCAGCACAGUAAGAGCUUGCUCUUACGGGUGGCGAGUGGCGGACGGGUGAGGAAUACAUCGGAAUCUACUUUUUCGUGGGGGAUAACGUAGGGAAACUUACGCUAAUACCGCAUACGACCUACGGGUGAAAGCAGGGGAUCUUCGGACCUUGCGCGAUUGAAUGAGCCGAUGUCGGAUUAGCUAGUUGGCGGGGUAAAGGCCCACCAAGGCGACGAUCCGUAGCUGGUCUGAGAGGAUGAUCAGCCACACUGGAGCUGAGACACGGUACAGACUCAUACGGGAGGCAGCAGUGGGGAAUAUUGGACAAUGGGCGCAAGCCUGAUCCAGCCAUACCGCGUGGGUGAAGAAGGCCUUCGGGUUGUAAAGCCCUUUUGUUGGGAAAGAAAAGCAGCAGGUUAAUACCCCGCUGUUCUGACGGUACCCAAAGAAUAAGCACCGGCUAACUUCGUG
Molecule: ribosomal RNA, 492 nt
Filed under: uncultured bacterium
Lineage: Bacteria
Description: partial 16S ribosomal RNA
Rfam family: Bacterial small subunit ribosomal RNA
Source: RNAcentral